GAUGAAGAACGUAGCGAAAAUGCGAUAAGUAAUGUGAAUUGCAGAAUUCAGUGAAUCAUCGAAUCUUUGAACGCACCUUGCGCUCCUUGGUAUUCCAAGGAGCAUGCCUGUUUGAGUAUCAUUAAAUUAUCAACUGUGCCAAUUUGGUUACAGAUUGGAUGUGGGAGAUUCUUUUUGCAGGCCUUUGACUUCUCUUUGAGAAAAAAAAUAAAAGGUCGGCUCUCCUGAAAUGUAUUAGCAGUGCCUUUGUUGGUUCAUUAGGUGUGAUAAAUUGUCUACAUCUUCGCAUGAUACCUUCAUUUGUAAAGGUCAUAUUGCUUCUAAAUUGUCUUUGAUUGGACGCAAAACAUAUAUAAUGUUUGACAAACUUGAUCUCAAAUCAGGCAGGACUACCCGCUGAACUUAAGCAUAUCAAUAAGCGGAGGA
RNAcentral lists this unclassified non-coding RNA (426 nucleotides) under soil metagenome. RNAcentral's name for it is "partial contains 5.8S ribosomal RNA, internal transcribed spacer 2, and large subunit ribosomal RNA". The stretch from base 1 to 121 matches the Rfam family "5.8S ribosomal RNA", at positions 35 to 154 of the family's 154-position model. The record is from RNAcentral.